This 253-nucleotide ribosomal RNA is filed under the name uncultured bacterium. RNAcentral describes it as "partial 16S ribosomal RNA". It matches the Rfam family "Bacterial small subunit ribosomal RNA", at positions 524 to 776 of the family's 1533-position model. The record is from RNAcentral.
UACGAAGGGUGCAAGCGUUGUCCGGAAUCAUUGGGCGUAAAGAGCACGUAGGCGGCUUCAUAAGUCGGAUGUGAAAUCCCUCGGCUCAACCGAGGACGUGCAUCCGAAACUGUGAGGCUUGAGUACUGAAGAGGAUCGCGGAAUUCCCGGUGUAGAGGUGAAAUUCGUAGAUAUCGGGAAGAACACCAGUGGCGAAAGCGCUCUACUGGGCCAUAACUGACACUGAGGGACGAAAGCUAGGGGAGCGAAAGGG